UACGGAGGGAGCUAGCGUUAAUCGGAAUUACUGGGCGUAAAGCGUGCGCAGGCGGUUUUGUAAGUCUGACGUGAAAGCCCCGGGCUCAACCUGGGAAUUGCGUUGGAGACUGCAAGGCUUGAAUCUGGCAGAGGGGGGUAGAAUUCCACGUGUAGCAGUGAAAUGCGUAGAGAUGUGGAGGAACACCGAUGGCGAAGGCAGCCCCCUGGGUCAAGAUUGACGCUCAUGCACGAAAGCGUGGGGAGCAAACAGG
This 253-nucleotide ribosomal RNA is filed under the name uncultured bacterium. Its description in RNAcentral is "partial 16S ribosomal RNA". It matches the Rfam family "Bacterial small subunit ribosomal RNA", at positions 524 to 776 of the family's 1533-position model. The record is from RNAcentral.